This 422-nucleotide ribosomal RNA is filed under the name uncultured bacterium. RNAcentral describes it as "partial 16S ribosomal RNA". It matches the Rfam family "Bacterial small subunit ribosomal RNA", at positions 361 to 775 of the family's 1533-position model. The record is from RNAcentral.
AUAUUGGACAAUGUGCGCAAACCUGAUCCAGCCCUACCUCGCGGGUGAAGAAGGCCUUCGGGUUGUAAAGCCCCUCUGUUGGGAAAGAACUCCAGCUGGCUAAUACCCGGUUGGGGUGACUGUACGCAAAGAAUAAGCACCGGAUAACCUCGUCCCCGCGGCCGCGGUAAUACGAAGAGUGCAAGCGUUACUCGGAAAUACUGGGCGUAAAGCGUGCGUAGGUGGUCGUUUAAGUCCGUUGUGAAAGCCCUGGGCUCAACAUGGGAACUGCAGUGGAUACUUGGCGACUAGAGUGUGGUAAAAAGUAGCGGAAAUCCUGGUGUAGCAGUGAAAUGCGUAGAGAUCAGGGGGAACAUCCAUGUCGAAGGCAGCUACCUGGACCAACACUGACACUGGAGCACGAAAGCGUGGGGAGCAAACAG